This 498-nucleotide ribosomal RNA is filed under the name uncultured bacterium. RNAcentral describes it as "partial 16S ribosomal RNA". It matches the Rfam family "Bacterial small subunit ribosomal RNA", at positions 28 to 507 of the family's 1533-position model. The record is from RNAcentral.
GACGAACGCUGGCGGCGUGCUUAACACAUGCAAGUCGAACGGGCCCGCUCUCUUUUUGGGGGUGGGUUGAGUGGCGAACGGGUGAGUAUCACGUGAGUAACCUGCCCCCUGCUCCUGGAUAACUGCUUGAAAGGGCGGCUAAUACGGGGUGUGCCGGCUGGUCCGCAUGGGCCUGGUCGGGAUAGUUUCAUCUUCGGGUGUUUCGGUGGGGGAUGGGCUCGCGGCCUAUCAGCUUGUUGGUGGGGUGAUGGCCCACCAAGGCGGUGACGGGUAGCCGGCCUGAGAGGGUGGGCGGCCACACUGGGACUGAGACACGGCCCAGACUCCUGCGGGAGGCAGCAGUGGGGGGUAUUGCACAAUGGGCGGAAGCCUGAUGCAGCGACGUCGCGUGAGGGAUGGAGGCCUUCGGGUUGUGAACCUCUUUCUCCGGUGGUGAAGGCCCUGUCCGUUGCGGCGGGGUUGACGGUAGCCGGGUAUGAAGCGCCGGCUAACUACGUG